GGUGAUUCUCUGGUGAUGCACCCUAGAAUCAGGCUCCCUCCUCUCUGGUUCCUGUUGUGUCACCCAAGAACCCCA
This is a non-coding RNA of Myotis davidii, 75 nucleotides long. The record is from Rfam. NCBI's taxonomy places the organism in Eukaryota, Metazoa, Chordata, Mammalia, Chiroptera, Vespertilionidae.